CAACCUUAUCACUAAACUCCUGACACCCAGCACCAUUCUUUCUCUUCUAGGCCAAGUUGUCUCCUUCUCCCAGGCAAGAAUUUCAUAAUUCAGAAUUCAAGGAAUUCAUGAAUCCGGCCGAUCAAAUCAACUUGUAACUACAAUCUUCCCUGACUCUGCCACUGAAAGUCACUGCUCCUGCCAUGCUCCCUAUGUGUCCGGAGGUAAUUAGAUCUCCUGAAGAAAGUUCACCUGAAGAAAGUUGAUAAAAGCGUUGGAAUCGAUUCUUGGAACCUUUUCCAGGACUUUCCUGUGCUCGGGCACUUGGAUUGAGUUAUGCAACUCUGUGAAAUGCUGAAAAGAUCAUCAGGAAGAUGCUUUUCCUAGCCAUACAUUGUUUUAUACAGCCUGUGUCCGAGCCCCAGGCAGGAUCAGCCACGCAGUUAUCUUGUAAUGUGUCAGAGGGCAAAGUGGAUAAAGUUGCUUGGAGGAAGGAUGGGCAGCCUGUCCCACAAGAACACUGUUACCUCCUCUCUAAAAAUGCUCUGGUCAUAAAGCUAGUCAUGAAAUCUGACUGUGGAUUGUUCUCGUGCAAUGUCAGCAAUGAAAUCAGUUGGCGAGAAGCUUCUCUCAACUUCACUAUUGAAGGCCUCCAUCCUUCACUGUGGCCCGCCUUGCAUUGUUCCAUUGUUGCAUUGGCCUUGUCAUGCAUUGCCAUUGUGAGCUUCUGCCUGUUUCUGCCCAGUAAAAUGAUAAAAGGACAAUUGUGGAGAGCUCUCACUGUUUUCCAGGAAGGAGCAGUGUGUUUGUCUUCUUUGCUACUUUUAGUCACUGGUUUCCUCUGGAUAGAAGAGAAAGGUCCCAGUGUAUAUCUUAUCCUGGUCCUUUCCCUUCUUUUCUUGGUCAUUCCUGUGACAUUCACCAUAGCUGCAAUACUGGCCAUCCACCCUCCAAGAAUUAAAAAGAUAAUGACAAAAAAAGUUUACCGAAUGAUCCUGGAUUUCACUGUUCCUGGAGGAGCCUUGGUAAUCAUACUGUUCUCCAUAUUCUUCAUGGAGAUGAUCUUUCAGCUUGAAGGCCAAGGCUGCUCACAGCCCAAAAAUCUGUUUGUCAGCAUGGCAGUCCCAGCUGGAAUCUUCUUCGUUAUUCUACUCUCUCUCUUUGGCUGGUAUCACCUCAAGAAAGAAAACAGGAAGGGAGCUGGAAGCCCUUACCCAGAAAUAGGGGAAAAUUAAGUCAAUCUCCUCCCAGAAUGGCUGGAGGGAGGUUAUGAGAAGAAGAACAGAAGAAAUCAUCCCGAUCUUCUCCUCUUUCAUUCAAUCAUAUUUAUUGAGUGCUUACUGUGUGCAGAGCACUGUACUAAGUGCUUGGGAGAGUACAGUACAAAAAUUAACAGACACAUUCACUGCCCACAGUGAUCUUACUGUCUAGAGGAUGAGUUUACAGUCCUCUCCCCACCCCACCCCACCCAUUUCCUCACCCUCCUCCCACCCAACCCUACCACAAUCCAUUCAAAGGAAGGAGCACUGCUCUGGGAAUCAGGACACCUAAGUUCUAGUCCUGGUUCUGCCUGAAGCAGGGAAGCAGUGUGGUCUAGUAGAUAGAACCCGGGCCUGGGAGUCAGAAGACCUGGGUUCUAAUCCUGGCUCUGCCACUUGUCUGCUGUGUGACCUUGGGCAAGUCACUUCCCUUCUCUGUGGCUCUGUAAAAUGGGGAUUAAGACAGUGAGUCCCUUGUGGGACAUGGACUGAGUCCAAAUUGAUUAGCUUGUCUACCAAGUGCUUAGAAUAGUGCUUGACUCAUAAUAAGCUCUGAACAAAUACCAUUAACAAAAAAAUCUGGCUAAUGUGGGUGAAGUCGUAAUGUGCUGAAUACUUGCCUGUCGAAUGGUUCAUCACUCUCCGUGCCCCAGCAGGAACGUGACUGGAAGAGACAAGGUACGGUGAGUGGAACUGCAUAAGCCACUAGCACUAGAGACAACUCUUCCGUGCAGGUUCUUGGUCCUGAAGUCUCAGACAGAGGCUCAUCUGCUCUUCUAAUAGGAAACUUCAUCAAAGCAUAACCCAGGUUAGUGCAGGGUAGUAUAUCCUAUUUACUAUUUACCUUUAUCAGGGAAGGAAAGAAAAGGAAGGGAGGAAAUCAAUGGUUAGGGAGCUGAGAUGUCUCAUACAUAGGUCAGCCAUUUCCUUUGUUUCUGCUGCCUCCCCUUUCUCUCUGCCUUUAACUGAGGUAUGGUCUCUACAGUUUGGAUUUGACAUUUCUAGACCACAAGCUCGUGUGGCAAAGGAAAGCGUCUACCAUCUCUGUUGUACUGUACAAGCUCUUAAUAAUAAUAACGUUGGUAUUUGUUAAGCGCUUACUAUGUGCAGAGCACUGUUCUAAGCGCUGAGGUAGACACAGGGGAAUCAGGUUGUCCCACGUGGGGCUCACAGUCUUAAUCCCAUUUUACAGAUGAGGUAACUGAGGCACAGAGAAGUUAAGUGACUUCCCCACAGUCACAGAGCUGACAAGUGGCCGAGCCGGGAUUCGAACCCAUGACCUCUGACUCCAAAGCCCAGGCUCUUUCCACUGAGCCACGAUGCUUCUCACUUAGUACGAUGCUCUGCACACAGUAAAUGCUCAAUUGAUACUGCUGACUGAUCAGUUGGCAUCUGUGGCUUUGAACCCAGAGUUCCUGCUUCAGGAAAUUGUGGGCCUUGCUUAAAGAAAGCAAGGAAAAGCUUAAAAAUGUCUAAUGCACAGGAGCAGGUGACCAUCCAGGGAAGAAAGUUCAUUCAUUAAAUCCAUUCGCCUUUGCUGCUGGUGAGGAAUUCUAUUUUGUGAUUUUGGUAGUGCUAUUUUUGGUUUAUAAAUAGUGAUAGUAAUAAUGGUAUACGUUAAGCGAUUAUAUAUGCCAAGCACUGUUGUAAGGGCUGGGGUAGAUACAAGGUAACAGAAAAGUUAAGUGACUUGCCCAAAGUCACAUAUCUGAUGAGUUACAGAGCCAGGAUUAGAACCCACCUCCUCUGACUCCCAAGCCCGUACUCUUUCCACAAGCCACGCUGCUUCUCUGACAAGUUAAUGGAAAGCCAGGGAGUCAGGGUUUCUGUCAUUUAGAUAAGCUUCAGUUACUUUAUAAGGACUACUGCAUAUUUCCCUUUGAUGAAGACAGGAAGCCACAACCUGUAUUUUAAAUCAAUAUUACUGAAUGGGUCAUCCAAAUACCUUUUACCUUAAAAGGAUUUAUUGCGAGCUUUUGCGGAGGAGCAGCUUGGCUUAGUGGAAAGACUGUGAGCCCCUAGUGGGACAGUUAACUUUUAUCUACCCCGCCCAGCACUCAGAACAGCAUUUGACUAAACAAAUACCUUAAAAAAAAGGCAGGAGACUUGGGUUUUAAUACCAGUUCUACCCUUGCCUUCUCUGUGCUUCAGUUUUCUCAUCGGUAAAAUGGGUAUGAACUACCUGUUCUUGCUACCCCUUUGAUUGUGAUCCCCAAGUGAGUCAGGGACUCUAUCCAACCUGAUUAUCUUGUAUCUACCGCAGAGCAAAGUAGAGUGUUUGAGAUAUAACAGGGGCUUAAUAAAUACCACAAUCGCAGUUAUUGUUACCUAGUGAAAGUGAAAGGGGAUGAUCAGCUGUUCUCUUUGUCCAUGGGGUCAGAAUAAGAGUAAAAAGGCUUAAAUUGCAGCCAGACAGGUUGAGACUAGACAUUAGGAAGAACUUUCUGCUGUGAUGGUAAGCAGGCACCAGAACAGUCUCCCAAGAGAAACUCCUGUUGGACUCUUAUUCAACUCUGCAGUUACUUUAGUUGCGUAUUCUUACUACUGUGGUUAUUAUGGUAUUUGUUAACAUGUGCUAAGCACUGUUCUAAUCUCUAGGGUAGAUACAAGAUAAUCAGUCUGGACACAGUUCCUGUCCCACAUGGGGCUCACAGUCUAAAUAGAAGGGAGUAGGAUUUAAUCUCCAUUUUACAGAUGAGGAAACUGGGGCCCAGAUUAAUUGAGGAAGCAGCGUGGCUCAGUGGAAAGAGCCUGGGCUUCAGAGUCAGAGGUCAUGGGUUCGACUCCCGGCUCUGUCACUUGUCAUCUGUGUGACUGUGGUCAAGUCACUUAACUUCUCUGUGCCUCAGUUACCUCAUCUGUGAAAUGGGGAUUAACUGUGAGCCUCACGUGGGACAACCUGAUUACCCUGUAUCUCCCCCAGCGCUUAGAACAGUGCUCUGCCCAUAGUAAGUGCUUAACAAAUACCAACAUUAUUAUUAUUACUAAA
RNAcentral lists this long non-coding RNA (4227 nucleotides) under Ornithorhynchus anatinus (platypus). RNAcentral's name for it is "lncRNA (ENSOANG00000044080.1)". The stretch from base 3965 to 4036 matches the Rfam family "tRNA". Lineage: Eukaryota; Metazoa; Chordata; Mammalia; Monotremata; Ornithorhynchidae. The record is from RNAcentral.